GAUGAACGCUGGCGGCGUGCCUAAUACAUGCAAGUCGAGCGAACAGACGAGGAGCUUGCUCCUCUGACGUUAGCGGCGGACGGGUGAGUAACACGUGGAUAACCUACCUAUAAGACUGGGAUAACUUCGGGAAACCGGAGCUAAUACCGGAUAACAUGUUGAACCGCAUGGUUGAAUAGUGAAAGACGGUCUUGCUGUCACUUAUAGAUGGAUCUGCGCCGCAUUAGCUAGUUGGUAAGGUAACGGCUUACCAAGGCAACGAUGCGUAGCCGACCUGAGAGGGGGAUCGGCCACACUGGAACUGAGACACGGUCCAGACGCCUACGAGAGGCAGCAGUAGGGAAUCUUCCGCAAUGGGCGAAAGCCUGACGGAGCAACGCCGCGUGAGUGAAGAAAGUCUUCGGAUCGUAAAACUCUGUUAUUAGUGAAGAACAAAUGUGUAAGUAACUAUGCACGUCUUGACGGUACCUAAUCAGAAAGCCACGGCUAACUACGUG
This 497-nucleotide ribosomal RNA is filed under the name uncultured bacterium. RNAcentral describes it as "partial 16S ribosomal RNA". It matches the Rfam family "Bacterial small subunit ribosomal RNA", at positions 28 to 507 of the family's 1533-position model. The record is from RNAcentral.